Molecule: ribosomal RNA, 484 nt
Filed under: uncultured bacterium
Lineage: Bacteria
Description: partial 16S ribosomal RNA
Rfam family: Bacterial small subunit ribosomal RNA
Source: RNAcentral
AUUGAACGCUGGCGGCAGGCCUAACACAUGCAAGUCGAGCGGAUGAAGGGAGCUUGCUCCUGGAUUCAGCGGCGGACGGGUGAGUAAUGCCUAGGAAUCUGCCUGGUAGUGGGGGAUAACGUCCGGAAACGGGCGCUAAUACCGCAUACGUCCUGAGGGAGAAAGUGGGGGAUCUUCGGACCUCACGCUAUCAGAUGAGCCUAGGUCGGAUUAGCUAGUUGGUGGGGUAAAGGCCUACCAAGGCGACGAUCCGUAACUGGUCUGAGAGGAUGAUCAGUCACACUGGAACUGAGACACGGUCCAGGCUCCUACGGGAGGCAGCAGUGGAGAAUAUUGGACAAUGGGCGAAAGCCUGAUCCAGCCAUGCCGCGUGUGUGAAGAAGGUCUUCGGAUUGUAAAGCACUUUAAGUUGGGAGGAAGGGCAGUAAGUUAAUACCUUGCUGUUUUGACGUUACCAACAGAAUAAGCACCGGCUAACUUCGUG